Molecule: unclassified non-coding RNA, 432 nt
Filed under: soil metagenome
Description: partial contains 5.8S ribosomal RNA, internal transcribed spacer 2, and large subunit ribosomal RNA
Rfam family: 5.8S ribosomal RNA (bases 1-120)
Source: RNAcentral
GAUGAAGAACGCAGCGAAAUGCGAUACGUAAUGUGAAUUGCAGAAUUCAGUGAAUCAUCGAAUCUUUGAACGCAUAUUGCGCUCUCUGGUAUUCCGGAGAGCAUGCUUGUUUGAGUAUCAGUAAACACCUCAACUUCCAUAUCUUUUUUGAAAUGGGAGUUGGACUUGAGUGAACCCAACGCUUUUCCUCACCGAAAAGUGGCGGGUUACUUGAAAUGCAGGUGCAGCUGGACUUUUCUCUGAGCUAUAAGCAUAUCUAUUUAGUCUGCCUAAAAAACAGAUUAUUACCUUUGCUGCAGCUAACAUAAAGGAGAUUAGUUCUUGUGCUGACUGAUGCAGGAUUCACAAAGACGGCUUCGGCCGACUUUGUAAACUCGAUCUCAAAUCAAGUAAGACUACCCGCUGAACUUAAGCAUAUCAAUAAGCGGAGGA